This 313-nucleotide long non-coding RNA is filed under the name Selaginella moellendorffii. RNAcentral's name for it is "long non-coding RNA (SMOE_LNC002252)". Lineage: Eukaryota; Viridiplantae; Streptophyta; Lycopodiopsida; Selaginellales; Selaginellaceae. The record is from RNAcentral.
CAUAAUAUCCUCUUCCACACAUCCACCUUUAGUACCAAAAGUUAGUCUCUAGGACACACUUGGAUCUUUCCUGUGUGGCAAAUUGAGAUGAAUAAACAAAAGCUAGAAGCGGAGAAAGAGGGAAAAGUUCUAUCCCAAGGUUGUAGAGCGCUUGGAUUCACGACCGAUCAAAUGCCACAAAUGCGAUGGUGGCAGCGACAUCCAAAUCACGGCCAUGGCACCAAAAUCUGGAUCGAUUGAACCCUAGAACCUGCGAGGAGCUGAAAUCCUAUAACCAAGGGUGAAAUAGAUUGCACCCACCUCUUGGUAGAAG